RNA transcript from Zea mays, 2160 nucleotides. RefSeq lists it as uncharacterized. NCBI's taxonomy places the organism in Eukaryota, Viridiplantae, Streptophyta, Magnoliopsida, Poales, Poaceae. The transcript is spliced from 5 exons. The record is from RefSeq and is marked provisional.
GAUGGGCCCCAGAGAUUCCCCUCCGCGCACACAAGGCCCAACACGUCCCCGUCCAGAUUCAUCCACCCUCCCCCUUUCCCUUCGUCUCCGUCCGCUCCCGGCAUCGUCCCCUCUUCCCCGUCUCGCGUUCGUCGCCCACGGGCUUCGAUUGAUCUUCUUCCGGUGCUGGUGGCAGGUGGACGGAUCGUGUCCUUGCUUGGCCGCCCACAGCAGCAAUGGACGACGGGGACCUGGACUUCUCCAACCCGGACACGUACCUGUGCCCGGCGCUCGGCACUGACCCGCCCAGCAGCUGCUCCAUGGACAGCUACUUCGACGAGAUCCUCAAGGACACGGAGCACCACGCCUGCACGCACACCCACACCUGCAACCCGCCGGUGCACGACCUAUCGCACACCCACACCUGCGUCCACGUCCACACCAAGAUCGUCGCGGCCUCGCCCGGCGACGACACUGCCGACUCGCCGUCCGAGAACAACACCAACGGCAGCGGCGGCAACGGCAGCAACGCCGCCUCCAAGAAGCGCCCCUCGGGGAACCGCGCCGCCGUCAGGAAGUACCGGGAGAAGAAGAAGGCCCACACCGCGUCGCUGGAGGAGGAGGUGGUCCAUCUCAGGGCGCUCAACCAGCAGCUCGUGAAGAAGCUCCAGAGCCACGCCGCGCUCGAGGCGGAGGUGGCCAGGCUCCGAUGCCUGCUCGUCGACAUCAGGGGCAGGAUCGAGGGGGAGAUUGGCGCGUUUCCGUACCAGAGGCCGCCGCCAGCGGCCAAGAACGUCGACCUCGUGUCCGGUGUUGACCAGGGAGGGUUCCUUGCCGGGGCUGCUGCCCAGGUUACCAGUUCCUGUGAUUUCAGAUGCAACGAUCAGAUGUACUGCAGCCCUGGAAUGCAGGGCGCUGUUAGCGGCCAGGUGUUGGGACAAGGUGCCUGCGAUGUCUCGAGUAUCCAAUGCGUUGGAAGCACCAGGUCUGCGUCCACUAAGCUACCUGUCUGCGGGGGGAUGGAUGCAGUACCUGCUGCCUGCUUGCCAAAUGUUCAAAACAAGUGACGGAUUAUAUAACUGAAGAAGAAUAUAACUCGGCUCUCUUGUCGCCGAGCCAUUGUUUUGUGGUUCCAUUGGUUUCCUUCUGUCUGGCUGAAUGCAAUUUUGAGUGAAUUGCCAUCUAAUUGUCAACGAUGAAGAUCAGAUUUGCUUCUGUCCCAUCCUGUCAAUCCAGAGCUAGACUUGCUCUUGUCUAUUUUCAGCCGGAUGUCUUGUGCCCCUUUUAAAGGCAUUGCUAGUCUUGUUGACACACCAGAAACUAAGAUGCUCUGUAUGAAUCAACUGGCUGUUUAUUCUCUGAGAUUUGAGAAAAAUUCUUAUUAGCCUUCUUAAGUCUAUUUAUCAUGAUUAUUGUGUAAUCAUGGUGUAUGUUGUUGUUUAUUCAUUUUGCUGUGGCCUAUUCAAUUUGUUGUGGCCUGAUUGAAUGUAUUUUUAGUGAAUCGGCAUCUUAUCAUGGAAGGGCAGGCCUGAUGCACGGGAUUUGUCUUACUGAGUCACCAGGUCGCGGGUUCUAAGCAGGGAGGCUUGCCUCGGUUUAUCCCUUCCCUAGACCUCACUCAUGUGGGAGCCUCCGACACUGGUUACUGGACUGCUGUGAGUCGUUGGUAGAAUUUGUUAAUGAAUGUUCGUACUGCUCAGAUCUUGCAAUGGAACUUAUUCAAGAAAAAAAAACAGGAUAUGAUGUCUUAUUCUUCAAAUAGUCCUAAGGACUCCCGGCAGUGUUUAUGGUCCCUUCCUUUUCAGAGACUGCUGGGACUUCCCGUUCUGCCUCGAAGGAACGCUGUAUAAACCGCUAGCUUUUCUAUGUAGGGCCGAAUCUGGUUCAAACUGCUACGUGUGUGAGUUCGUCGUCGCCGAUGAUGCUUCUAUAGUGCCUGAGGCGAUUCAAGUUUGUUAGCUCUAGAGCUGAUAGGAUAUCCUCGUUUACUUUGCUUAGUUCUCAGAUGCUCUCCGUCUCCGAUGAAGUGCAGCAACUGAACCGGAUCCGAAGGAGUUGGACAUGAACAGGUUAAAAUUUGGCAUAUGUGGUCUAAGAAGACGCUGAGAUGUUUGUAGCGAAUCUCAAGUUCAAUGCGAACCCUGUUGCCUAUGUAUAUUCACAUCCUUUGUGUAGGUGUCA